UUCGAAGCAACGCGAAGAACCUUACCAGGCCUUGACAUGCAGAGAACUUUCCAGAGAUGGAUUGGUGCCUUCGAGAACUCUGAGACAGGUGCUGCAUGGCUGUCGUCAGCUCGUGUCGUGAGAUGUUGGGUUAAGUCCCGCAACGAGCGCAACCCUUGCCUUUAGUUGCCAGCAGUUCGGCUGGGCACUCUAAAGGGACUGCCGGUGUUAAACCGGAGGAAGGUGGGGAUGACGUCAAGUCCUCAUGGCCUUUAUGACCAGGGCUACACACGUACUACAAUGGCCGAUACAAAGGGCAGCGACACUGCGAGGUGAAGCCAAUCCCGUAAAAUCGGUCUCAGUCCGGAUUGGAGUCUGCAACUCGACUCCAUGAAGUUGGAAUCGCUAGUAAUCGUGGAUCAGCAUGCCACGGUGAAUACGUUCCCGGGCCUU
Molecule: ribosomal RNA, 432 nt
Filed under: uncultured Desulfobulbus sp.
Lineage: Bacteria; Pseudomonadati; Thermodesulfobacteriota; Desulfobulbia; Desulfobulbales; Desulfobulbaceae
Description: bacterial SSU rRNA
Rfam family: Bacterial small subunit ribosomal RNA
Source: RNAcentral